GAGCAGAGAAUGUGAAAGCCUUGCCCCACUUCAUCACUCCCUCCUGAAGCUCCCUGGGGCAGUGCUUGAUCACCGCUGGCCUAUGUUAUAUUUCCUAGGCAGUCCAGGUGCUCCUUUACUGCUCACCACAUCUAUAACCUCAUAGUACAUCAGAGGAUCAACAUUACAGUCCACAGUGGAUGGAAAAUUCCAAGCCUGCUAACAAUUAGAAAAGUGCUCUUCUAAUUAAAGGACCUGUCCAUCAAAUUUCCUUGGGUGUCUGCCACCAAGUUGCUGAUGCCACCAUGAUGUCAUCCUAACCUCCUCAUACAGACAACCUCACCAAUGUGUCCUGGAACUUCACCUCUCCAGUCCUACCCCACUAGGAAAAGAUAGAAACAGGCUAGAAGUAUGGAUCAACCUGCUAACAUCCAUGUCCAGUGGAGAAGCAAUUACAGAAGCCAGAACACCCACCUUCUGCAUCUCAAAAAUAAUUCUGGCCCAUACCCCCAAAGAGAUAAAGAAGAGGGAAGAUUCCAGAAGAGGGGAUGGGACAUGGAACUCUGGUGUUGGGAAUUGUGUGGAAUUGCAAACUGUUACCUUCCAAUCUUAUUAAUCAUUAGUAAAUCACUAAUAAAAAUUUUAAAAGAA
Long non-coding RNA from Erinaceus europaeus (western European hedgehog), 630 nucleotides. RefSeq lists it as uncharacterized. Lineage: Eukaryota; Metazoa; Chordata; Mammalia; Eulipotyphla; Erinaceidae. The record is from RefSeq and is a predicted model, not a curated record. The transcript has 3 exons.